Long non-coding RNA from Cervus elaphus (red deer), 1060 nucleotides. RefSeq lists it as uncharacterized. The transcript has 3 exons. The record is from RefSeq and is a predicted model, not a curated record. Lineage: Eukaryota; Metazoa; Chordata; Mammalia; Artiodactyla; Cervidae.
CACUGAGUUGCCUUUGUAUGCUGGGCGGACCAAGCCGGAGGUUCCCACUAUGCAGCCCGGAGUCCGUGCAGCCAGAUGACGCAUGAGGUACUCACAGGGGUCUUAUAAACGAUGCUGUCACUCUUCAUUCUUUUCAACUCAAUAAUUGUAGAAUGCGUGAAAAGUUGAAAAAAGAAACGACAACCUACAAUCAACCAACAGCAUAUACAUUUGGAAAUGAGAAGAUGAGAAUAGAGGCAAAAUAUUUCUGUCUGCUUAUUUGGUUGCUCAAAGAACUUAAGUGUUAUUACUAAGCUGCAUCAUCAGUAUCCUUCACAGGUAUAUGAAAACAUGCAGGUUUGAUAUCAGUGGACCUGAAUAGAAGCCUGUGACGUUGACCUUGAUGGACCCAUGUGCAUUGGCCUUCUGCAGGCUACUUUUUACUUUACUGACCAGGUACAGUGACCUGGAGCAGCACUUCCCUCUAUAAUGGGCAGUCUAGUGCCCUCAGGAAGAUUGAAAAAGACUCAUGAUACUCACCCAAUGAUCUCUUAGAGCCUCUUGUUGUGAAUUUCAGCUUCUUGAUUGACCAGCUCACAUUUUUGUCUCUUGUGGCUGUCCUUCUGCCUCUCUCCCAUCUGUCUCAUUCAUUGAUGGGAGUUUUCUCCUUCAUUCUCUAAAGCAUCACUGACACAAGGAAGUUAUAUGCAACAGACUUUUACUAAAAAUUUAAGGAUGGCUACAGGGAUUAGAGCACAGAGCAGGAACCAACCUAAAAUGCAAAACUAGAUUACUAGACAUCUUGAAACUGCCAGCCGUCCUUCCUGCAGGGAAAACCUCACUUGCUCUGUUUAUGUUCAGGUCCUGCUUGCAGACGUGUCUCAUUAGACCACAGCUACAAAAUUUCUAUUCCUAUCCUUUUUUGCUUUUGUAAAUUAUUGCCCACUCAGAACAACAUAGGAGGCCUCGUUGUGUACAAGACUUGUUUUUUUUUUUAAAAAAACAAUAAACAGUCUCUAAAUUUUAUUCUCAAGGAAAUGAUUGUUGUUUAGUCACUAAGUUGUGUCUGACUCUUUUUUGA